Molecule: ribosomal RNA, 486 nt
Filed under: uncultured bacterium
Lineage: Bacteria
Description: partial 16S ribosomal RNA
Rfam family: Bacterial small subunit ribosomal RNA
Source: RNAcentral
AUUGAACGCUGGCGGCAUGCCUUACACAUGCAAGUCGAACGGCAGCACGGGUGCUUGCACCUGGUGGCGAGUGGCGAACGGGUGAGUAAUACAUCGGAACAUGUCCUGUAGUGGGGGAUAGCCCGGCGAAAGCCGGAUUAAUACCGCAUACGAUCUACGGAUGAAAGCGGGGGACCUUCGGGCCUCGCGCUAUAGGGUUGGCCGAUAGCGGAUUAGCUAGUUGGUGGGGUAAAGGCCUACCAAGGCGACGAUCAGUAGCUGGUCUGAGAGGACGACCAGCCACACUGGGACUGAGACACGGCCCAGACUCCUACGGGAGGCAGCAGUGGGGAAUUUUGGACAAUGGGCGAAAGCCUGAUCCAGCAAUGCCGCGUGUGUGAAGAAGGCCUUCGGGUUGUAAAGCACUUUUGUCCGGAAAGAAAUCCUUGGCUCUAAUACAGUCGGGGGAUGACGGUACCGGAAGAAUAAGCACCGGCUAACUACGUG